Molecule: ribosomal RNA, 365 nt
Filed under: uncultured bacterium
Lineage: Bacteria
Description: bacterial SSU rRNA
Rfam family: Bacterial small subunit ribosomal RNA
Source: RNAcentral
AUUGAACGCUGGCGGCAGGCCUAACACAUGCAAGUCGAGCGGGGUUUUCGGACCUAGCGGCGGACGGGUGAGUAAUGCGUAGGAAGCUACCCGAUAGAGGGGGAUACCAGUUGGAAACGACUGUUAAUACCGCAUAAUGUCUACGGACCAAAGUGUGGGACCUUCGGGCCACAUGCUAUCGGAUGCGCCUACGUGGGAUUAGCUAGUUGGUGAGGUAAUGGCUCACCAAGGCGACGAUCUCUAGCUGGUUUGAGAGGAUGAGCAGCCACACUGGAACUGAGACACGGUCCAGACUCCUACGGGAGGCAGCAGUGGGGAAUAUUGGACAAUGGGCGCAAGCCUGAUCCAGCCAUGCCGCGUGUGUG